This 505-nucleotide ribosomal RNA is filed under the name uncultured bacterium. RNAcentral's name for it is "partial 16S ribosomal RNA". It matches the Rfam family "Bacterial small subunit ribosomal RNA", at positions 28 to 507 of the family's 1533-position model. The record is from RNAcentral.
GACGAACGCUGGCGGCGUGCCUAAUACAUGCAAGUAGAACGCACAGUUUAUACCGUAGCUUGCUACACCAUAGACUGUGAGUUGCGAACGGGUGAGUAACGCGUAGGUAACCUGCCUGGUAGCGGGGGAUAACUAUUGGAAACGAUAGCUAAUACCGCAUAAUAUUAAUUAUUGCAUGAUAAUUAAUUGAAAGGUGCAAUUGCACCACUACCAGAUGGACCUGCGUUGUAUUAGCUAGUAGGUGAGGUAACGGCUCACCUAGGCGACGAUACAUAGCCGACCUGAGAGGGUGAUCGGCCAAACUGGGACUGAGGCACGGCCCAGACUCCUAAGGGAGGCAGCAGUAGGGAAUCUUCGGCAAUGGACGAAAGUCUGACCGAGCAACGCCGCGUGAGUGAAGAAGGUUUUCGGAUCGUAAAGCUCUGUUGUAAGAGAAGAACGGGUGUGAGAGUGGAAAGUUCACACUGUGACGGUAUCUUACCAGAAAGGGACGGCUAACUACGUG